CUGCUACGCUGCUACUCUGCUACUCUGUGUUUAAUUUUAAUAUGUUAAUCGGAUAGCAUGGACUAUUGCAAUUUAGUUCUUGGGAAUACCUUUUCUGUAGGGUGAAUAAGGCCAGGUAAGACCACAGGGCCCACCAGGACCACCAGGAUCAGGCCAUCAGGGAGCACAGGGUAUACAGGGUCCACCAGGAGUCCCUGGGCCAAAAGGCUCUCAAGGCUCUAAUUGGCCAGGACCAAAGGGUGAACCAGGUAGACCUGGACAAAAAGGACAACCAGGACUUCCAGGAAUUAACUCAUCAGGACAUAAAGUGAGCUUGCUUUUAUUUUUGAUUGUUCUUUACAUGGUCUUUUAAUUCUUCCACUAAUUGUUGAUAACCAAGUAGAAGACUUUUUGGUACAAAUUAACUGUGGUUAAAAUAAGAAGGAAUUUCAGUGAGGGUUGUAAAAGCA
Taeniopygia guttata (zebra finch) is the source of this 449-nucleotide non-coding RNA. Lineage: Eukaryota; Metazoa; Chordata; Aves; Passeriformes; Estrildidae. The record is from RefSeq and is a predicted model, not a curated record.